RNAcentral lists this ribosomal RNA (350 nucleotides) under Photobacterium damselae subsp. damselae. RNAcentral's name for it is "partial 23S ribosomal RNA". It matches the Rfam family "Bacterial large subunit ribosomal RNA", at positions 1 to 388 of the family's 2925-position model. Lineage: Bacteria; Pseudomonadati; Pseudomonadota; Gammaproteobacteria; Vibrionales; Vibrionaceae. The record is from RNAcentral.
GUUGUAUGGUUAAGUGACUAAGCGUACACGGUGGAUGCCUGGGCAGUCAGAGGCGAUGAAGGACGUACUAACUUGCGAUAAGCGUAGAUGAGGCAGUAAGAGCCACUUGAGUCUACGAUUUCCGAAUGGGGAAACCCAGCUGCAUAAGCAGUUAUCUCAAUGUGAAUUCAUAGCAUUGUGAGGCGAACCGGGGGAACUGAAACAUCUAAGUACCCCGAGGAAGAGAAAUCAACCGAGAUUCCGGCAGUAGCGGCGAGCGAAACCGGAUUAGCCCUUAAGCUAAUCUUGCGUUAGGUGAACAUGCUGGAAAGCAUGGCAAUAAAGGGUGAUAGCCCCGUAACCAACAGCGC